This 465-nucleotide ribosomal RNA is filed under the name uncultured bacterium. Its description in RNAcentral is "partial 16S ribosomal RNA". It matches the Rfam family "Bacterial small subunit ribosomal RNA", at positions 28 to 507 of the family's 1533-position model. The record is from RNAcentral.
GAUGAACGCUGGCGGCGUGCCUAACACAUGCAAGUCGAGCGGAGAAUUGUUGCUUGCAACAAUUCUUAGCGGCGGACGGGUGAGUAACACGUGGGUAACCUGCCCUAAACAAAGGGAUAACAAUGAGAAAUCAUUGCUAAUACCGUAUAAGCUUACACUAUCGCAUGAUAGAGUAAGAAAAGAUUUAUCGGUUUAGGAGGGGCCCGCGUCUGAUUAGCUAGUUGGAGAGGUAACGGCUCACCAAGGCGACGAUCAGUAGCCGACCUGAGAGGGUGAUCGGCCACAUUGGGACUGAGACACGGCCCAAACUCCUACGGGAGGCAGCAGGGGGGAAUAUUGCACAAUGGAGGAAACUCUGAUGCAGCAACGCCGCGUGAAGGAAGAAGGUUUUCGGAGCGUAAACUUCUAUCUACAGGGAAGAAAAAAAUGACGGUACCUGAGUAAGAAGCCCCGGCUAACUACGUG